GGAGGGUUGGGAUGCAGAAUUACAUGAAUUAAACCGAAAGCGGAGCGAGCGGUGGCUUCGGAGUGAGCAAUCUAAUACCUGUUGCGUCAUUCGAGAGCUUCUUGGUUAAAUCGUUGUCAACUAACAAUUUUCCACUGAAAAGUGGAAGGUUGAUUGAGAACGGAUAGCGAGCAAGUCAAAGUCCUCUAGCGUAGCAGACACGGUCAACCUAAAAUUUGUACACACUCCUGUUGAAAUCAAUUCGGAGCUUUUCACACCUUUAAUGUGGCAAAUAUUACAAACAACAUCUGCUAAAAGAUAAAAAAAAAACAACAACAACAAAACAAAAAUCGUCUGGUUGCAUAAGUGAGCAAAACCAUUUGCAUCCUUCAGAUCAGCGUUUCUAAACCCUGGUCCUCAGGGCCCUCUGUCCUUCAUGUUCUAGAUGCCUCUCUAAUCCAGCACACCUGAUUCAAAGGAUUAAAUUACCUGCUCAGCAUGCCAUCGAAUGCUGCAGAAGCUUUCUAAUCACUCAGUUAUUUAAGUCAGGUGGGAGGCAGAAGGAAAACACCUAAAGCUUGCAGGACACUAGGGCCUGAGGAGAGGGGUUAAGAAACGCCGCUUUAGACAAAACUACAGAUGCAGAGAGUAUAAGACAAGAGCACAUUAAAAAAACACCUACAGAAACAUUAAAAAGACAAACAGAUGGUUGAAAAAGGAAGCCAAGGAGUUGAGAUUCAAAGCCUUAGUGGUGCCAGUGGUCAUUUUGUGCACUUUGAACCAAAGUAGGAGGGUGGCAGCUGCAGACUCCUGGAUCACCCAGUAAAGCAAAACUGCAAAGAGCGCUCGACGUCCCAGGGUCUGACAGGAAACCUGAAUAUGAAGUGGAGUCACUCAGCAGAGACUUCUAGAAGAGGAUUUACAUACCUCUGCUGUGUAGCAGGAAAGCAUGUCUGCAUGUUUUUCCAUGUUAUGUCCAAACAGUCUCUACGGGGAGCAGAAGGAGUAAGUUUUCGCCGGGAAAUGGUUGUGGAGCAGCUGCUUUGAGGUGAAAGCAAGACCGUGAAAAUGUAGACUUUGCUCUCUUUUUCACAUGUCGUGCUGCUCAGUGCUAGCUGAUUGCUGGGAAAUCUGUUCACCAGAGCGUGUUUGUUUUUCCACCUAAUUCAUACGAUUAUGCCAUGCUAAUUUGGCUAGCUUUGUUUACUCACUCAGGCCUAGUUUCACUGCGGUGUCAAGAGGACUCCCGCUGCUUUUGUGUUUGGUAAUCCUAUCAGAAAGAUGCUUGAGAUGAGGAAAGCACGUUCUUGACCGGGUGCCACAGCAAAGAGGCAAAAAAAAAAGAGGAAGAAGAAGAAUAAGGAAAAAAAAAAAAUCAAAUUCUUAAACGAGUCUGCAAUUAGACAUGUUCUCCAAGAGAGCUGCAGCACAAUGAUAAUUCUAGUUCAUUUGCAGGAGUCAACCCUGUUAAUGUAGCUGUUAAACUGACGAGGGAGGAUGAAUGUUUUACUGAUUUGGCCACACUUCAAAAUGUAAUGAUAGGAAGGAGAGUAGAGAGAAUGUGCCAACAAUUUACAGGAAUUUUGUCUCAAAGGUUCGUCCAACAGAAGGUAAAAUAUAGGGGUAUUGUAAGGUAAAAUGGAGUAAGAUAAAUGACGGUGUGCAAUUAAAAUCAUUGCUGAACUCAAGACAAGUUCAGCAACUACAACAGUUAGGUAUAACAAAUAAAAUGAUAAAUGCUCAUGAUUGCAUAAAAAAUACUUUAGUUGGCUAAAUGUUCUUGUAAUAUUGGUCUGUCUGUGGUUCAGGUGUUACCAGAAAGCUAAAUGUUUCAAUAUUUGGUGAAGGAAGCAAACGAGACAAAACCUGUUUAUAUUCCAUUCCACAGAGAAAACUAGAAGGAGGAGGAGGUGAAAUAAAAAAUUAUGGUUUUUAAAAAAAA
Poecilia latipinna (sailfin molly) is the source of this 1921-nucleotide long non-coding RNA. RefSeq lists it as uncharacterized. The transcript is spliced from 3 exons. The record is from RefSeq and is a predicted model, not a curated record. Lineage: Eukaryota; Metazoa; Chordata; Actinopteri; Cyprinodontiformes; Poeciliidae.